UAUCCGGAAUUAUUGGGCGUAAAGGGCUCGUAGGCGGUUCGUCGCGUCCGGUGUGAAAGUCCAUCGCUUAACGGUGGAUCCGCGCCGGGUACGGGCGGGCUUGAGUGCGGUAGGGGAGACUGGAAUUCCCGGUGUAACGGUGGAAUGUGUAGAUAUCGGGAAGAACACCAAUGGCGAAGGCAGGUCUCUGGGCCGUUACUGACGCUGAGGACGAAAGCGUGGGGAGCGAACAGGAUUAGAUACCCUGGUAGUCCACGCCGUAAACGGUGGAUGCUGGAU
Molecule: ribosomal RNA, 279 nt
Filed under: uncultured bacterium
Lineage: Bacteria
Description: partial 16S ribosomal RNA
Rfam family: Bacterial small subunit ribosomal RNA
Source: RNAcentral